AUUGAACGCUGGCGGCAGGCCUAACACAUGCAAGUCGAGCGGACGAAGGGAGCUUGCUCCUGGAUUCAGCGGCCGACGGGUGAGUUAUGCCUAGGAAUCUGCCUGGUAGUGGGGGAUAACGUCAGGAAACGGGCGCUAAUACCGCAUACGUCCUGAGGGAGAAAGUGGGGGAUCUUCGGACCUCACGCUAUCAGAUGAGCCUAGGUCGGAUUAGCUAGUUGGUGGGGUAAAGGCUUACCAAGGCGACGAUCCGUAACUGGUCUGAGAGGAUGAUCAGUCACACUGGAACAGAGAAACGGUCCAGACUCCUACGGGAGGACACAGUGGGGAAUCUUGCGCAAUGGGCGAAAGCCUGAUCCAGCGAUGCCGCGUGAGUGAAGAAGGUCUUCGGAUGGUAAAGCGAUGUAAGUUGGGAGGAAGGAAAGUAAGUUCAUACCUGGCUGUUUUGACGGUACCAACAGAAUAAGCCCCGGCUAACUUCGUG
RNAcentral lists this ribosomal RNA (484 nucleotides) under uncultured bacterium. Its description in RNAcentral is "partial 16S ribosomal RNA". It matches the Rfam family "Bacterial small subunit ribosomal RNA", at positions 30 to 507 of the family's 1533-position model. The record is from RNAcentral.